GGUUAAGCGACUAAGCGUACACGGUGGAUGCCCUGGCAGUCAGAGGCGAUGAAGGACGUGCUAAUCUGCGAAAAGCGUCGGUAAGGUGAUAUGAACCGUUAUAACCGGCGAUGUCCGAAUGGGGAAACCCAGUGCAAUUCGUUGCACUAUCGUUAACUGAAUACAUAGGUUAACGAGGCGAACCGGGGGAACUGAAACAUCUAAGUACCCCGAGGAAAAGAAAUCAACCGAGAUUCCCCCAGUAGCGGCGAGCGAACGGGGAGCAGCCCAGAGUCUGAA
RNAcentral lists this ribosomal RNA (279 nucleotides) under Klebsiella pneumoniae. RNAcentral's name for it is "partial 23S ribosomal RNA". It matches the Rfam family "Bacterial large subunit ribosomal RNA", at positions 1 to 280 of the family's 2925-position model. The record is from RNAcentral. Lineage: Bacteria; Pseudomonadati; Pseudomonadota; Gammaproteobacteria; Enterobacterales; Enterobacteriaceae.